This 64-nucleotide transfer RNA is filed under the name Habrobracon hebetor. Its description in RNAcentral is "tRNA-Val". The record is from RNAcentral. Lineage: Eukaryota; Metazoa; Arthropoda; Insecta; Hymenoptera; Braconidae.
AGAAUUUUAGUUUAAAUUAAAAUUUAAUAAUUACAAUAUUAAGAUAUAUAAAAUAUAAAUUUUU